Molecule: ribosomal RNA, 547 nt
Filed under: Lodderomyces parapsilosis
Lineage: Eukaryota; Fungi; Ascomycota; Pichiomycetes; Serinales; Debaryomycetaceae
Description: eukaryotic LSU rRNA
Rfam family: Eukaryotic large subunit ribosomal RNA
Source: RNAcentral
UAGCGGAGGAAAAGAAACCAACAGGGAUUGCCUUAGUAGCGGCGAGUGAAGCGGCAAAAGCUCAAAUUUGAAAUCUGGCACUUUCAGUGUCCGAGUUGUAAUUUGAAGAAGGUAUCUUUGGGUCUGGCUCUUGUCUAUGUUUCUUGGAACAGAACGUCACAGAGGGUGAGAAUCCCGUGCGAUGAGAUGUCCCAGACCUAUGUAAAGUUCCUUCGAAGAGUCGAGUUGUUUGGGAAUGCAGCUCUAAGUGGGUGGUAAAUUCCAUCUAAAGCUAAAUAUUGGCGAGAGACCGAUAGCGAACAAGUACAGUGAUGGAAAGAUGAAAAGAACUUUGAAAAGAGAGUGAAAAAGUACGUGAAAUUGUUGAAAGGGAAGGGCUUGAGAUCAGACUUGGUAUUUUGUAUGUUACUCUCUCGGGGGUGGCCUCUACAGUUUACCGGGCCAGCAUCAGUUUGAGCGGUAGGAUAAGUGCAAAGAAAUGUGGCACUGCUUCGGUAGUGUGUUAUAGUCUUUGUCGAUACUGCCAGCUUAGACUGAGGACUGCGGC